CCUACGGGAGGCAGCAGUGGGGAAUAUUGGACAAUGGGGGCAACCCUGAUCCAGCCAUGCCGCGUGUGUGAAGAAGGCCCUCGGGUUGUAAAGCACUUUCAGUGAGGAAGAACGCCUGGUGGUUAAUACCCAUCAGGAAAGACAUCACUCACAGAAGAAGCACCGGCUAACUCCGUGCCAGCAGCCGCGGUAAUACGGAGGGUGCGAGCGUUAAUCGGAAUUACUGGGCGUAAAGCGCGCGUAGGUGGCUUGAUAAGCCGGUUGUGAAAGCCCCGGGCUCAACCUGGGAACGGCAUCCGGAACUGUCAAGCUAGAGUGCAGGAGAGGAAGGUAGAAUUCCCGGUGUAGCGGUGAAAUGCGUAGAGAUCGGGAGGAAUACCAGUGGCGAAGGCGGCCUUCUGGACUGACACUGACACUGAGGUGUGAAAGCGUGGGUAGCAAACAGGAUUAGAUACCCUUGUAGUC
This 465-nucleotide ribosomal RNA is filed under the name Vreelandella stevensii. RNAcentral describes it as "partial 16S ribosomal RNA". It matches the Rfam family "Bacterial small subunit ribosomal RNA", at positions 338 to 795 of the family's 1533-position model. The record is from RNAcentral. Lineage: Bacteria; Pseudomonadati; Pseudomonadota; Gammaproteobacteria; Oceanospirillales; Halomonadaceae.